Molecule: small RNA, 27 nt
Filed under: Bombyx mori (domestic silkworm)
Lineage: Eukaryota; Metazoa; Arthropoda; Insecta; Lepidoptera; Bombycidae
Description: ovarian small RNA-24783
Source: RNAcentral
UCAAGUGCUGUCAUUGCAGGUGUUUGC